GAGGGGCAGCAUGAGUAGCAAUACUUGAUGGCGACCGGCGGGCGGGUGCGUAACACGUAUGCAACCUACCUUUUACAGGGGGAUAGCCCGGAGAAAUCCGGAUUAAUACCCCAUAAUAUAUUGAUUGGCAUCGAUUGAUAUUGAAAGCUGAGGCGGUAAAAGAUGGGCAUGCGUCCUAUUAGCUAGUUGGUAGGGUAACGGCCUACCAAGGCGACGAUAGGUAGGGGGCCUGAGAGGGUGAUCCCCCACACUGGUACUGAGACACGGACCAGACUCCUACGGGAGGCAGCAGUAAGGAAUAUUGGUCAAUGGGCGAGAGCCUGAACCAGCCACGCCGCGUGCAGGAAGACGGCCCUCCGGGUUGUAAACUGCUUUUAUACGGGAAGAAAUCUUUGGAUGCGUCCAGAGUUGACGGUACCGUAUGAAUAAGGAUCGGCUAACUCCGUGCCAGCAGCCGCGGUAAUACGGAGGAUCCAAGCGUUAUCCGGAUUUAUUGGGUUUAAAGGGUGCGUAGGCGGAUAAUUAAGUCAGGGGUGAAAGCCGGCAGCUCAACUGUCGAAUAGCCUUUGAUACUGGUUGUCUUGAGUAUAGUUGAAGUGGGCGGAAUGCGGCAUGUGGCGGUGAAAUGCGUAGAUAUGCCGCAGAACACCGAUAGCGAAGGCAGCUCACUAAGCUAUUACUGACGCUGAUGCACGAAAGCGUGGGUAGCAAACAGGAUUAGAUACCCUGGUAGUCCACGCCGUAAACGAUGAUAACUCGACGUUGGCGAUACACCGAUCAGCGUCCAAGCGAAAGCGUUAAGUUAUCCACCUGGGGAGUACGAUCGCAAGGUUGAAACUCAAAGGAAUUGACGGG
This 855-nucleotide ribosomal RNA is filed under the name uncultured bacterium. RNAcentral's name for it is "bacterial SSU rRNA". It matches the Rfam family "Bacterial small subunit ribosomal RNA", at positions 64 to 917 of the family's 1533-position model. The record is from RNAcentral.